CGAUUCCCUACGGGGCGCAGCAGGCGCGAAAACUUUACAAUGCGGGAAACCGUGAUAAGGGGACACCGAGUGCCAGCAUCAUAUGCUGGCUGUCCGGGUGUGUAAAAUACACCUGUUAGCAAGGGCCGGGCAAGACCGGUGCCAGCCGCCGCGGUAACACCGGCGGCCCGAGUGGUGAUCGUGAUUAUUGGGUCUAAAGGGUCCGUAGCCGGUUUGGUCAGUCCUCCGGGAAAUCUGAUGGCUCAACCAUUAGGCUUUCGGGGGAUACUGCCAGGCUUGGAACCGGGAGAGGUAAGAGGUACUACAGGGGUAGGAGUGAAAUCUUGUAAUCCCUGUGGGACCACCUGUGGCGAAGGCGUCUUACCAGAACGGGUUCGACGGUGAGGGACGAAAGCUGGGGGCACGAACCGGAUUAGAUACCCGGGUAGUCCCAGCCGUAAACGAUGCUCGCUAGGUGUCAGGCAUGGCGCGACCGUGUCUGGUGCCGCAGGGAAGCCGUGAAGCGAGCCACCUGGGAAGUACGGCCGCAAGGCUGAAACUUAAAGGAAUUGGCGGGGGAGCACAACAACGGGUGGAGCCUGCGGUUUAAUUGGACUCAACGCCGGACAACUCACCGGGGACGACAGCAAAAUGUAGGCCAGGCUGAAGACCUUGCCUGAAUCGCUGAGA
Molecule: ribosomal RNA, 669 nt
Filed under: uncultured archaeon
Lineage: Archaea
Description: bacterial SSU rRNA
Rfam family: Archaeal small subunit ribosomal RNA
Source: RNAcentral